This 75-nucleotide transfer RNA is filed under the name Leguminivora glycinivorella. Its description in RNAcentral is "tRNA-Ala". It matches the Rfam family "tRNA". From Rfam's summary of the family: Transfer RNA (tRNA) molecules are approximately 80 nucleotides in length. Their secondary structure includes four short double-helical elements and three loops (D, anti-codon, and T loops). Lineage: Eukaryota; Metazoa; Arthropoda; Insecta; Lepidoptera; Tortricidae. The record is from RNAcentral.
GCCUCCGUGGCGCAGUUGGGAGCGCGAUGGCCCCGGCAAGGCCAGAGGCCGCAGGUUCGAGUCCUGCCGGAGGUG